This 250-nucleotide ribosomal RNA is filed under the name uncultured bacterium. RNAcentral's name for it is "partial 16S ribosomal RNA". It matches the Rfam family "Bacterial small subunit ribosomal RNA", at positions 57 to 305 of the family's 1533-position model. The record is from RNAcentral.
GCAAGUCGAACGAUGAAGCCGGAGCUUGCUCUGGUGAAUUAGUGGCGAACGGGUGAGUAACACGUGAGUAAUCUGCCCUUGACUCUGGGAUAACUGCGGGAAACUGUAGCUAAUACCGGAUACGACACCUUGGGGCAUCCCAUGGGUGUGGAAAGAAUUUCGGUCAAGGAUGAACUCGCGGCCUAUCAGCUAGUUGGUGAGGUAAUGGCUCACCAAGGCGACGACGGGUAGCCGGCCUGAGAGGGUGACC